This 67-nucleotide microRNA precursor is filed under the name Bombyx mori (domestic silkworm). Its description in RNAcentral is "mir-2774 microRNA precursor family". It matches the Rfam family "mir-2774 microRNA precursor family". The record is from Rfam by way of RNAcentral. Lineage: Eukaryota; Metazoa; Arthropoda; Insecta; Lepidoptera; Bombycidae.
AAUGGUACCGGCUCGUCGAUCUACUGAGCAAUGUCAUCCGCUCGGUGAAAGAUCUUCCCUUAGUCGU